RNAcentral lists this small nucleolar RNA (143 nucleotides) under Mus musculus (house mouse). RNAcentral describes it as "Small nucleolar RNA SNORA48". It matches the Rfam family "Small nucleolar RNA SNORA48". Rfam says of the family: The snoRNA ACA 48 has been identified to guide pseudouridylation of the residue U3797 in the 28S rRNA subunit. Its host gene EIF4A1 (eukaryotic translation initiation factor 4A1) is shared with U67 and snoRNA mgU6-77 The record is from Rfam by way of RNAcentral. Lineage: Eukaryota; Metazoa; Chordata; Mammalia; Rodentia; Muridae.
AGCCCCUAGCUAUGGACAAAGAGAGACCUGUUGGUGGUGGUGUUCUCCUAUCAGUCAGGGGCAGAGUAGAUGGCAGUCCUCUGUUCAUCCUAGCCUGAUGCCUGACUUGGUGGCCAAAGCUGUCUUAUGCCUGGGACUCAUAA